AGGAUGAUUUGAACUCAGGUCUCUGACUAUAAGCCCCACUGUUUUUCCAGUAGGGACCCAAUCAGGGAUGAGAUAUCAGGACAGCUGGGUUGUAGGGUCAGGGAGAAUCAUAUGAUUGCACUUUUCCUCAAUUGAACCACACCCCAAAUCCUGCAUUUACCUUUCCAUCUCAGGGCAGACAUGCCCACAUACUUCAUCCCCUGGGACAUUUGGCAAAGAUGAAUCCAGCUUCUCUGACUGGCUAUUGUCUGAUGCUGAGCGUGAAAAGCUGGAGCGGGGUUCCUGGGUCUGGAGGACUCAUCUGCAUACAGGUCAGAGCUGUGAGCUGGUGCCUGAUUGACCCAUUUUUCAGGUAUAUCCUGACCUCCAAGAGAUGUUGUGAGCUAGGACUUCUUUGAGGACCAAUCAAAAGCUCUUUGAAGACUGGCCUAAAAAAAUCUGGAUCUACCGGUUCACCAUCCCACUCCAGAGACCUUCCUCAACACCCUCCCCACAUCCUCUCAAGCUCACUUUCCUUCACAGCAAUUUCUGAUAACCUGGGCUUCCCUGGUGGCGCAGUGGUUAAGAAUCCGCCUGCCAAUGCAGGAGACGUGGGUUCAAGCCCUGGUCUGGGAAGAUCCCACAUGCGGCGGAACAACUAAUCCCAUGCGCCACAGCUACCGCGCCACCAUUACUGAGCCUGUGCUCUAGAGCCCACGAGCCACAACUGCUGAAGCCCACGCGCCUAGAGUCCAUGCUCUGCAAAAAGAGAAGCCACUGAAAUGAGAAGCCUGCGCACCGCAACGAAGAGUAACGUCUCUCGCAGCAACUAGAGAAAAGCCCGUGCACAGCAACAAAGACCCAACACAGCCAAAAAUAAAUAAAUAAAUAAAUUUAUUCAAACAAACAAAAUUUCAGAUAAUCCUCCUUCCUCCACUUCACAAUAACUCAUGAGCUGUGACUUUGCCAACACCCAUUUCCACAAGCAAACUGCAGGUUUUUUCCAAAUCAGAGUGCUAUAUUUACUAUAGUAUUUAUGUUUUGCUUAACCAUUUAAUAUUUGUAAAGCUAUGUUACCAUUUUUAUCAGGUUCCUGUCUGUUUUAAAUGUGUCACUGGUGAAGUUUUCACUGUUGUGAAAUCCUAGGUUUUCUUAUAAGCGCUGAGGGAUUUUGCAAAGCUCGGUGAUAUUUAGGAGCAUAUAUGUCACUGUUGGGGCCCAGGUUAGGCCAUCCCAAAAU
Long non-coding RNA from Orcinus orca (killer whale), 1219 nucleotides. RefSeq lists it as uncharacterized. The record is from RefSeq and is a predicted model, not a curated record. The transcript has 3 exons. Lineage: Eukaryota; Metazoa; Chordata; Mammalia; Artiodactyla; Delphinidae.